GGUCCCUGGGAACCAAUGAUAAAUCUGGAGUGUGUAUCACAGGUGGCGGAAGAGAGGAGGGUAAAGCGAAGUGAAUGUGUCUGUGUUUCAUUCUGAAAUGACUGUGAUUUUUAUCUCUAGAAGUUCAGCUAGGGCACAGUUGAAGGCAUACAGGGGCUAUAGAAGAGAAAGAGAAAAAUAACAGAAAAUCUCUUGAUUGGACCCUCCGGAGUGACGUAAGCUUGCUGAUCUGUUGCUGUGAUAAACACCGUGACCAAAGCAACCUGGGGAAUAAACCAUUCUUCCAAGUGCAAGUCCAUCACUGAGGGGAGUCAGGACAGAAAUUCAAGGCAUCGCAGGAACCUGGAGACAAGAACUGAACCAGACACCAUGGCAGAAUGCUGCUUACUGGCUUACUCCUCCAGCCUGUGCUCAGCCUGCUUUCUUAUACAACCUAGCACCACCUACCUAGUGGUGGCAUCAUCCACAGUGGGCUGGGCAUCACUCAGCAGUCAAAAAAUGCCACACAGACAUGCCCACUGGCCAAUCGGAUAAAGAAAGUUCCCCAAUUGAGGUUCCCUCUUCUCGUGUGUAUCCAGUUGACAAACCAAGCCAACCACUCAGUCAUGACACAUUUAGUCCAGGAUCCCAGACAAUAGGACCAUGCCACCACAUUCAAGGUAGUUCUCUCUUCAGUUAAACCCCUCUAGAAACUCAAAGACACACUCAGAAGUGUGUCUGACAGAGGAUUCCAAAUCCAUUCAAGUGGACAAUAAAAUUAACCAUUGCUUCCACCUUAGUACAAGACCAAAGAGAGGGCUGGGGACCCGAAAAGAUCCUAGAGAGGUGAUGGCUACCUGGAUACUCUUUGUUAUCUAAUAGUGUCUUCUGUCAGGAACAUCUUUGUUCAGGGUUCUUGGUGUUCUUGGUUCAUGUACAAGUACUUCCUAGGACGAUCGGGGGAGGAAGACUCUGGAUCAAUUUAAUUUUUUCUUGACAGGGCCUCCCUAGUCCCAGUCUGCCUAAAAGUCACUAUGUGGAUCAGGCAGGCCUCGAUCUCGCAGAGAUCCACCUGCCUCUGCCUUUCAAGGCCUGUGCCACCAUGCCCAGCAUUGAAUCAAUUUAAUUUUCAAUUUUAGUAUGCCAGCCAAACUUUCUCAAGCAAAUUACUCUUCCCCCUGGAAUUAAAAAAAAAAAGUAUAUAAAUUUCUGGGAACAAGGGAUAAAGUUCAGUGGUAGAGUACUUGCCUAGCAUGAACAAGGUCCCUGUUUCAAUCCUUCUCACUGGCAAAAAGAUUUUUUAAAAGUUUGUUUUACAAGGCGGGCAUGGUGGCGCACGCCCUUAAUCCCAGCAUUUGG
Nannospalax galili (Upper Galilee mountains blind mole rat) is the source of this 1338-nucleotide long non-coding RNA. RefSeq lists it as uncharacterized. The transcript has 3 exons. The record is from RefSeq and is a predicted model, not a curated record. Lineage: Eukaryota; Metazoa; Chordata; Mammalia; Rodentia; Spalacidae.